Long non-coding RNA from Lycium ferocissimum, 927 nucleotides. RefSeq lists it as uncharacterized. Lineage: Eukaryota; Viridiplantae; Streptophyta; Magnoliopsida; Solanales; Solanaceae. The transcript has 2 exons. The record is from RefSeq and is a predicted model, not a curated record.
AUUCUCUCUCUUUACUUUUCUGUGAAUUUCAACGGGAAGAAUGUAUUUUCUUUAGUUAUGUUUGUUUGUAUCUGAGUUUUGAAUGGGAAAUUGCCAUGGGUUAGGAGAGAAUUGCGCGGAUUGACAUUGUAUGAGUCAAAAUCUGACCAUAGAUCUCCCUUUACCGUCAUUCUUGUCCGUUGAUUGAUUGACUGAAGUUAAUUUGUGAGGAAAAACUUGAAAAUACCACAUCGGACUAGUUAGGGUUUUUGAGAAUUUUGGGGUUCUAUAUAAAGAACCCAUUCUCCACAUUUUGAGAGACAUUUGAGCAUAUUGAAACAUCACUAUACUCAAAAGUCGAAUUACCUAGGGUUUCUAAUUAUUGAGACCUUUAACUGUUCGACUAAGUUCAAAUUUUCAAAGUUUAAUCACUUUUUCUUGCUUGUUUGUGGCUGGGAGCCUUUCUCGAUCUAAGGUUGCGCGUGAAAAAGGUAAUCUCUUGCCUUUUUUUUUUUUUUUUUUUUUUUUUUUUUGUAGUUCUUUAUAUUUAUUUAGUAGUAAUUGUGUGUUUAGCUUAUAGUUAGUCGUGCAGUGUGUUUGUUAGCUAAAUAUGUGAUUAGUUUUAGAUUAGCUCAUGCUUAGUCUGUUUAGCUAGUGGCGUAGGUUUUAAGUCUUUGUUUGCUAGUCCAUACGAGUUUAAUAUAUAGUCCUGUUGUUUAAUCUUCCUAGAUAUAAAUUGAUUGGUGUAAUGGUAGUUUGUUAAUCAAGUUAAGUGCAUAUCAGUCUUGUUUUAGGAUCAUGUGUUCUCAUUUGAUAAGUUCAAACAUGUUGAAAGGGUCUCUAAUACUUGUUUUUAUGUGGUAGUGCAAGUCCCAAACCUGUUUAAUCGAAAAUACCAGCAGGUGGAUAGGCAGUUAGUUGAUGUAUUGUCAUUCCUGUGGUUUGGUA